Molecule: long non-coding RNA, 295 nt
Filed under: Elaeis guineensis (African oil palm)
Lineage: Eukaryota; Viridiplantae; Streptophyta; Magnoliopsida; Arecales; Arecaceae
Description: long non-coding RNA (EGUI_LNC043334)
Source: RNAcentral
UUGUGAUGAAGUACUUAGAACUAUAAAGUAAUCGAUAAAGGAAGAUUUAUCAUAUAGUUCUUAAACAUGUUUAUAACUAAAUGAUACUCAUUAAAGGAUGAUGAUGUUUAUUGAGUGAAGGUUGUUAUGUGUCAUAUGGGUUAGUUGUCCUCUUAACCAAGGAGUGUAGAGACAUUGGUAUAGCAUAUAAAUAAGAUAUAGGAGUACAUCGUCACUGAACAAGUGACUCAACUACUGAGCACUGCUGUUAAGAGUAGCUCAUGAAGUGCAUGGGUAUAAGUAUCCCUCUGACCUA